GACGAACGCUGGCGGCGUGCCUAAUACAUGCAAGUAGAACGCUGAAGAGAGGAGCUUGCUCUUCUUGGAUGAGUUGCGAACGGGUGAGUAACGCGUAGGUAACCUGCCUGGUAGCGGGGGAUAACUAUUGGAAACGAUAGCUAAUACCGCAUGAUAUUAAUUAUCGCAUGAUAAUUAAUUGAAAGAUGCAAUUGCAUCACUACCAGAUGGACCUGCGUUGUAUUAGCUAGUUGGUGAGGUAACGGCUCACCAAGGCGACGAUACAUAGCCGACCUGAGAGGGUGAUCGGCCACACUGGGACUGAGACACGGCCCAGACUCCUACGGGAGGCAGCAGUAGGGAAUCUUCGGCAAUGGGGGGAACCCUGACCGAGCAACGCCGCGUGAGUGAAGAAGGUUUUCGGAUCGUAAAGCUCUGUUGUAAGAGAAGAACGGGUGUGAGAGUGGAAAGUUCACACUGUGACGG
Molecule: ribosomal RNA, 465 nt
Filed under: Streptococcus sanguinis
Lineage: Bacteria; Bacillati; Bacillota; Bacilli; Lactobacillales; Streptococcaceae
Description: bacterial SSU rRNA
Rfam family: Bacterial small subunit ribosomal RNA
Source: RNAcentral